Long non-coding RNA from Phacochoerus africanus (Common warthog), 1302 nucleotides. RefSeq lists it as uncharacterized. The transcript has 3 exons. The record is from RefSeq and is a predicted model, not a curated record. NCBI's taxonomy places the organism in Eukaryota, Metazoa, Chordata, Mammalia, Artiodactyla, Suidae.
CCUGCCCACAGCUGGGAGAACAACAGGCCACAUGUCCAGUCCUUGCCCAGCCCAGAUUAUGCUAUAAAGACCUUUUUUGAAAGAGAAAGAAAGAAGUGACAUUCUGUGGAGACAUCCAGCCUCCCCAGUCUGUAGCCCCAGGUCCCCACACUGGUGUUUUUCUUCAGGUUGAGGACCUAUUCUUGGAGACCCAAGCUCCCAGCACUCCAGCCACAGACCUUCACCUUGAGACUUCCUUCUCAAGACCCUCAGGUUUUUUCUUCCCUUUUAGGCCUAAUCACAUCGGGGACUCGAGGCCUCCCUUCCAGGCUUGGCAGGCAGAGUAUCUCAAGAUGAAGAGAAAGACAUUUUCCCUUGCAUGCUGGCUGCUGUUUCAUCUUCUACUACUUUUAGGAAACGCUGUAACUUCUAAUGCUAACACUACAGCCACCACCCUUGGACAAACCACAUCACCCAGGGGAACUAACGCAACAGCUAUAACCUCCAGUGGGAACAUCACGACCACCUCCCUCGGACCAACCACACCGUCCAGGGGAACUAACGCAACAGCUAUAACCUCCAGUGGGAACAUCACGACCACCUCCCUCGGACCAACCACACCGUCCAGGGGAACUAACGCAACAGCUAUAACCUCCAGUGGGAACAUCACGACCACCUCCCUCGGACCAACCACACCGUCCAGGGGAACUAACGCAACAGCUAUAACCUCCAGUGGGAACAUCACGACCACCUCCCUCGGACCAACCACACCGUCCAGGGAAACUAACACAACAGCUAUAACCUCCAGCGUCACCAGCACAAGUACUGCCCCUCCAAGGAAAGAGGAGAACCUUAGCGGACAACUGAGACCAUGGGAAGUUGUUCUGGUCACUCUGGCCUCGGUUGCAAUGGCUGUGAUUCUCGUCACCGGGUUUCUCUUCCAUUUCCCUUUUGUUUUCUAGAGAAACUCUCCAGGCCUCAGAAACCUCUUCGAUGUUGAUCUCUUACCAACUGCAUGGCCAAGCCCCUACGGGACCAGGGCAACUGCAACCGACUUCAGAGGAGACCCUUCUUCCGUAGUCAUGGAGCUGACUGGGAGGCGGGAACAGCUCUGAGCUCCCUGAAGGCAGACGCAUCACCAAUGCGUGGGGGUGGGGGGCUGACCUGGGGGAGCCUGAGUAUUCCUCCUGUCCGAAGGACUGUCCCUCCCAGCUCCAUUUCAGCCUCUGACUGUCCUCCUUCCCACUUGGUUUUUCCAGACCGAAAAAAGGAGGCUGUAGCUGUGAACGAAUUAUUAAAUAAACCAUUCUGAUAUAUGUGGAA